AAUUUCUUCCAAGAAUACAAUAGCUAUCAACCUUACUUUCAGUGCCGAUAAUUCAGAGAAAUUAAAGAAGUUAAUAAUGAGGUUAACUAACUGUCGUUAAGCGAUCAAAUUAAAUACUCUGUAAUUGUUCUUUGAAACUAAUCUAACAAUUUCACCAAAUGAAUUAAUUUCCUUUUUGAUCUUAAAACAAUGAGUGAACACAAGAAAAAGAUUGAAAUAUAACUCAUCACUUCAAUGAUUGGACACUCUGAGAUUGGAAAUCCUUCAUCGAUAGGCGAAUCUGUCUGAAAGAUUUACACUUGUUAUUUUACAUCAUGUGAAGAAAUGAUCAACUGACUUUCCUGAAGUAAACUUCAUUUUCUGAAUAAAGAAAUAAUAUUUGAAUUCAA
Long non-coding RNA from Tetranychus urticae (two-spotted spider mite), 389 nucleotides. RefSeq lists it as uncharacterized. The record is from RefSeq and is a predicted model, not a curated record. Lineage: Eukaryota; Metazoa; Arthropoda; Arachnida; Trombidiformes; Tetranychidae.